Molecule: RNA transcript, 1238 nt
Organism: Arachis stenosperma
Lineage: Eukaryota; Viridiplantae; Streptophyta; Magnoliopsida; Fabales; Fabaceae
Exons: 2
Source: RefSeq, a predicted model, not a curated record
GAGAAGAGGAUGAAACAUCAUUUCUGCAUUGCACAACUUGUAGUUGCAGGCUAUGCUGAAGCUCUUUACUCACUCGUUAGGCCGAGCGGAGUCGUCGGCGCCGGAACGAGAUCACAAGAAAAGCAAGAGCCACGUCAAGAAGAAAGGAAACAACAAGAGAGGGACUAAGGCUAAGGUGUCCCCUGACGUAAGCCUGACAUCAAAUGAUUUUGUUGUGAGGAUUGUUCAUAAAGGUGGAUUACAAGAGGUGUAUCAACGUGCACUCCCUGCAUCAAAGUUGAUGAGAAAGUACCCCGGAAUGUGCGUCGCAUCGCCGGAAGUCUUCAAGGAUCCUCAUCAGUCGGUGUUGGGGCCGGACCAAGUGUUGCUUCUUGGUCACAAGUACAUCAUGAUAUCGCCACGAGAUGUCCACAAGCUGAAGCGCAAACACGCUCAGCAAGGCGAAAACGAAGAGAAUAAUGCACCGGCGAUUCAAGAGUUAUCGCCGGCAGAAGAAGUUACCAGAGAUUCUCCAUGUGGACACCAAACUAGAGAGAGUAGUAAUAAAGCUUCUAAUGAAGCAAAUGGAGCACAAGGCCAAGAGAUGAUGGAAAGAAAGAAAAGUUUAUAUCCAGAUGGAGGAAUAGAGGAAGUUCAAGGUGGAGGGCCUGCACGAGAACCUCAUGGCUAUGCAAAGGUAUACUUCUCAAGUCCCAAAGAUAAGUCUAUAAAACAUACAAGAAGACGAAAAGGAAUAAUGAACAACCCUUUUGUGCCACCUCUUCCAAAGAACAGAGUAUAUAGGGUCUUUGAUUGGCAACCAAGGCUUCCCACUAUACAAGAGCUCUCUCCGUGAUAUUUUUCAUAGCUAAUUUUCUUUGUACAACUCCUAUUAUUCACUUUUCCUUGAGCGUGAGUUAGUUAGCUCAUGUCCAAAAAGAAAUGGGAGUACAAGUAUCAUUUCUUUAUGCAGACUUAGCCAUUUUUAGUGUAGUUCGUUUGUGCAAGGGAUCUUUGGUAGAUAAAUGAGGAUGUGCCUGCUACACCUAACAAGGAACCAAGCCAACAAACUCAAAACAACAACAUCCCAAUUGAGGAACCAGCAAAGGGUGUUCAGCACAUGAGCUAGCAAUUGAAAAGGAUCCAACUAACAAGAGAAAAAGAAGAGCCCCAUCAUGGAUGGAGGAUAUGGUAAAAAUCUGGGUUUGGUUGUGAGUUUGAAAACUAGAGGAUUCUGUAUAAAUUUAUUUUUAACUAAC